Molecule: long non-coding RNA, 653 nt
Organism: Phragmites australis (common reed)
Lineage: Eukaryota; Viridiplantae; Streptophyta; Magnoliopsida; Poales; Poaceae
Exons: 3
Source: RefSeq, a predicted model, not a curated record
CACGCUGCGUCGUCGUCGUCGGCCGGUCAGGUCCACGGAAGGCUUCAUGAAUGCUUCUGCUUCGGGGGCAGCAGGCGUGGCGAGGAGGAUGUCGGAACGGGCGCCGAUGGUCGACUGGAUGACAAGGUCGUGGCGCUCCGGGGCAUCAACCCGUCUGCGUUCAGAUUUGCUUCAGACUGCUUCCUUGAGCUAGACAACGCCGUGCGGCAAGUAGCACAGGAGGAAAUUGAAAGACAUUGGAAGCGCUGGAUGUUCAAUUUUAUCCAUAAUUAAUGCUCGGCACUGCAAGUUCGUGAAACAAAUCCAAUAUUAUGCUUUCACAUUCAGAACUCCAAAUCUAAUGGGAACUGCAUCUAACGGGUUGAUGAAAGCUAGAAGUUUGCAUCGUCUGAAGGGCGCUAGCUCUUCCUCAGUCCUCCUGAGCCAACGUGCAUCACGAUGCCACGCCCCCCCUGAUUCGGUAACUGGCCGCCGCAGCCAUGGGUUCAAUGUAGCGCGCGGAUUCGGCAUCCGGCUCCGAUGCUGAACGCUUUCCUCCGCUCUGAGCAGAGUCGAAUCCGCCGACCUGGCCCGGCCGAAUCACGCACGCGCUGCACGCGCUAGGGUUCCCCGCCCUGCCGUGGUACUACACCGGCCGAGUUUUUUUUUUUUUU